GCGAGUGAAGCGGGAUGAGCUCAAAUUUAAAAUCUGGCUGGUUUACUAGUCCGAAUUGUAGUUUAUAGAAGCGUUUUCGGUGACAGCCUGGGUAUAAAUCCUUUGGAAUAGGGUAUCAUAGAGGGUGAGAAUCCCGUCUUUGACUCAGUGCAUGCUACUAUGUGAUACGUUUUCAAAGAGUCGAGUUGUUUGGGAAUGCAGCUCAAAAUGGGUGGUAAAUUUCAUCUAAGGCUAAAUAUUGGCGAGAGACCGAUAGCGAACAAGUACCGUGAGGGAAAGAUGAAAAGAACUUUGAAAAGAGAGUUAAACAGUGCGUGAAAUUGUUGAAAGGGAAACGCUUGACACCAGUUAUGCGGGUGGAAAAUCAGUCUUUUGCAAUGGGGAGUUGUGGGCGUUCAGACCGCAAGGCUGGCGUUUGCUUCAUCUUUGUUGUAAGUGAUGCACUUUUUCAUUUGCAGGUCAACAUCAGUUUGCUUUGCUGGACAAAACCCCAAGGGAAGGUGACAGCUUAGGCUGUGUUAUAGCCCUGGGGCGAUACAGUGGAGUGGACUGAGGUUUCGCAGUGUGUGCUCUCGGGCAAGGCUGACUGGGUGCUAUGGGAUCGUUCGGCGUACAAUGCAUGCAUUUUGCGUCGUGUCUUUUUCAUACUCGCUCAACUCGGCUCUUCCACGCUUAGGA
RNAcentral lists this ribosomal RNA (678 nucleotides) under Linnemannia gamsii. RNAcentral describes it as "eukaryotic LSU rRNA". It matches the Rfam family "Eukaryotic large subunit ribosomal RNA", at positions 89 to 618 of the family's 3401-position model. Lineage: Eukaryota; Fungi; Mortierellomycota; Mortierellomycetes; Mortierellales; Mortierellaceae. The record is from RNAcentral.